Molecule: ribosomal RNA, 301 nt
Filed under: uncultured bacterium
Lineage: Bacteria
Description: partial 16S ribosomal RNA
Rfam family: Bacterial small subunit ribosomal RNA
Source: RNAcentral
CAGUAGCCGCGGUAAUACAGAGGAUGCAAGCGUUAUCCGGAAUGAUUGGGCGUAAGGCGUCUGUAGGUGGCUUUUCAAGUCCGCCGUCAAAUCCCAGGGCUCAACCCUGGACAGGCGGUGGAAACUACCAAGCUAGAGUACGGUAGGGGCAGAGGGAAUUUCCGGUGGAGCGGUGAAAUGCGUUGAGAUCGAAAAGAACACCAACGACGAAAGCACUCUGCUGGGCCGACACUGACACUGAGAGACGAAAGCUAGGGGAGUAAAUGGGAUUAGAUACCCGGGUAGUCCCUGUCUCUUAUAC